GGUGGUGGUUGUUGUUGUUGUUGCGGUGGUGGUGGUGGUUGUUGUUGUGGUGGUUGUUGUUGUUGUUGUUUCAACCUGACUGAAGCUGCGUCCUGCCCACAGGGUGAGUUCAUCUCCAUGGGCGUGUACGCGGCCGGGAACUCCUACGGGAUCCCAGAGGACCUCAUCUACUCGUUCCCCGUCGAGAUCAAGAACAAGACCUGGAAGAUGGUCGACGGACUCCCCAUCAACGACUUCUCCCGAGCCAAGAUGGACGCCACGGCGGCCGAGCUGGUGGAGGAGCGGGACACCGCGAUGGACUUCCUGUCCCAGUGACUGUCCAACCUCGCCGACCAACAGCCGUCAGCCCCCCCGAAGGCCCGCCUCUCGCGGCUCUGAG
Molecule: long non-coding RNA, 379 nt
Organism: Etheostoma cragini (Arkansas darter)
Lineage: Eukaryota; Metazoa; Chordata; Actinopteri; Perciformes; Percidae
Exons: 2
Source: RefSeq, a predicted model, not a curated record